GCUUAUGGGAGGGAGAGCAGCCAGGGGCGAAGUUGUGUGUGUGUGGUGCUGCGGUGUCGCGUGGAAAGCGCGUGUGGGGCGAGUGUGAGUGUGCGCGCGAAUCUAAUUGAGUGUGCGCGCGUGGGGCGUGCUAGGUGAGUGUGUGCGCCCGCCCUGUGCCUCUUCCUACACCUACACUUUGAUCUUAUUUGAUCGGGUUGUGGCCCCAGCCCCGCCGGGCAGACCCGAAAUGAAAAGCUCUCCUCCUGCGAAGCCUCCUUUUCGGGGCGCUGUGCAGCGAGGCCCUUUGGGCGGCGGCAACGCCGCGGUCUCCGAGGUCCCGGAGUCGGUCCUGCGGGGCCCGGCGCUCAGAAGUGAUGAAUUGAUCAGAUAGACGAGGCCGGGAUCGUCCCGGGCCACUGAUUAUCGAGGCGAUUCUGAUCUGA
This is a small nucleolar RNA of Otolemur garnettii (small-eared galago), 425 nucleotides long. NCBI's taxonomy places the organism in Eukaryota, Metazoa, Chordata, Mammalia, Primates, Galagidae. The record is from Ensembl.